This 635-nucleotide ribosomal RNA is filed under the name Psychrobacter sp. RNAcentral's name for it is "bacterial SSU rRNA". It matches the Rfam family "Bacterial small subunit ribosomal RNA", at positions 805 to 1440 of the family's 1533-position model. Lineage: Bacteria; Pseudomonadati; Pseudomonadota; Gammaproteobacteria; Moraxellales; Moraxellaceae. The record is from RNAcentral.
AACGAUGUCUACUAGUCGUUGGGUCCCUUGAGGACUUAGUGACGCAGCUAACGCAAUAAGUAGACCGCCUGGGGAGUACGGCCGCAAGGUUAAAACUCAAAUGAAUUGACGGGGGCCCGCACAAGCGGUGGAGCAUGUGGUUUAAUUNGAUGCAACGNGAAGAACCUUACCUGGUCUUGACAUAUCUAGAAUCCUGCAGAGAUGCGGGAGUGCCUUCGGGAAUUAGAAUACAGGUGCUGCAUGGCUGUCGUCAGCUCGUGUCGUGAGAUGUUGGGUUAAGUCCCGCAACGAGCGCAACCCUUGUCCUUAGUUACCAGCGGUUUGGCCGGGAACUCUAAGGAUACUNCCAGUGACAAACUGGAGGAAGGCGGGGACGACGUCAAGUCAUCAUGGCCCUUACGACCAGGGNUACACACNUGCUACAAUGGUAGGUACAGAGGGCAGCUACACAGCGAUGUGAUGCGAAUCUCAAAAAGCCUAUCGUAGUCCAGAUUGGAGUCUGCAACUCGACUCCAUGAAGUAGGAAUCGCUAGUAAUCGCGGAUCAGAAUGCCGCGGUGAAUACGUUCCCGGGCCUUGUACACACCGCCCGUCACACCAUGGGAGUUGAUUGCACCAGAAGUGGGUAGCCUAACC